RNAcentral lists this ribosomal RNA (402 nucleotides) under uncultured prokaryote. RNAcentral describes it as "bacterial SSU rRNA". It matches the Rfam family "Bacterial small subunit ribosomal RNA", at positions 355 to 774 of the family's 1533-position model. The record is from RNAcentral.
UAGGGAAUAUUAGAAAUGGACGCAAGUCUGAUCUAGCAACACCGCGUGUGCGAAGAAGGCCUUCGGGUCGUAAAGCACUCUUUGGAAGGAAUAGGAAGGAAUGUACUUCCAGAAUAAGUCUCGGCUAACUACGUGCCAGCAGCCGCGGUAACACGUAGGAGGCAAACGUUAUCCGGAUUUACUGGGCGUAAAGCGCGUGUAGGUGGUACUGUAAGUAGGGCGUGAAAGCUCCUGGCUCAACUGGGAGAGGCCGUUCUAAACUACAGAACUAGAGGAUGGUAGAGGGAGGUGGAAUUCCAGGUGUAGCGGUGGAAUGCGCAGAUAUCUGGAGGAACACCGGUGGCGAAGGCGGCCUCCUGGACCAUUCCUGACGCUCAGACGCGAAAGCUAGGGUAGCAAACG